This is a non-coding RNA of Schistosoma mattheei, 45 nucleotides long. The record is from Rfam. NCBI's taxonomy places the organism in Eukaryota, Metazoa, Platyhelminthes, Trematoda, Strigeidida, Schistosomatidae.
AUCCAACUGACGAAUCUCAAAUAGGAAGAAACGAGCGUUCUAGAU